Molecule: non-coding RNA, 557 nt
Organism: Poecilia reticulata (guppy)
Lineage: Eukaryota; Metazoa; Chordata; Actinopteri; Cyprinodontiformes; Poeciliidae
Source: RefSeq, a predicted model, not a curated record
CAAACAUAAUCAUUGAUGGUAUAACUCACAUAUCCGGAGCUGGCAACUAACAUUAAGGCUAUCUUUUAACAYAAUAUCWACUAAGAAUGUAAAAGGUACAUCUAAACGUUUUAAUUGAAUAGGCGUUUCCCGAUUUAGACUCGUUAAGCUGCAAUAAAAGUCGAAAUUAAAGUUCAGAAUACACUUCUAGCUCGCAUAAWCAUGAAAACAGGCCAAGUAASGAAGUGAACAUUAGCUGAUAAAACAGCAAUUAAUACUACCCAACUGACGCUACAAGUAGCUUUAACUUUUAGCAUUUAGCUCAACUGCGAAGAAAACACGGAGACGUCAAAAGUAACGAGCUGGGCCGCUGCUACGAGCUAGCUGGCUAACAGGUUAGCCUCGCCACCUUCAGGGAACAUAUGGCUUCACAUAAAAACAAAUGAUCCUGUGUUUGGUGGAGCUCCUCUUCUCAUCUGCCAGCAAGAGAGCAUCAUCAGAAAGCCAGCAGGAGACACACUGAUGCAAUUUCCCUGAAAUAAAAGCCACCAGCUGGAUGCGUCAGCCUGGGAACCUUU